Molecule: ribosomal RNA, 459 nt
Filed under: uncultured bacterium
Lineage: Bacteria
Description: partial 16S ribosomal RNA
Rfam family: Bacterial small subunit ribosomal RNA
Source: RNAcentral
CCUACGGGGGGCAGCAGUGAGGAAUAUUGGUCAAUGGACGCAAGUCUGAACCAGCCAUGCCGCGUGCAGGAAGACGGCUCUAUGAGUUGUAAACUGCUUUUGUACGAGGGUAAACGCAGAUACGCGUAUCUGUCUGAAAGUAUCCUACGAAUAAGGAUCGGCUAACUCCGUGCCAGCAGCCGCGGUAAUACGGAGGAUUCAAGCGUUAUCCGGAUUUAUUGGGUUUAAGGGGUGCGUAGGGGGUCGGAUAAGUCAGCGGUCAAAUUUUGGGGCUCAACCCCGGCCUGCCGUGGAAACUGGGGGCUUGGAGUGGGCGAGAAGUAUGCGGAAGGCGUGGUGAAGCGGUGAAAUGCAUAGAUAUCACGCAGAACUCCGAUGGCGAAGGCAGCAUACCGGGGCCCGACUGACGCGGAGGCACGAAAGCGUGGGUAUCGAACAGGAUUAGAUACCCCUGUAGUC